UACAGAGGUCCCAAGCGUUGUUCGGAAUUACUGGGCGUAAAGGGCCAGUAGGCGGCCAACUAAGUCACACGUGAAAUCCCCGGGCUUAACCCGGGAACUGCGUGUGAUACUGGAUGGCUUGAAUUCGGGAGAGGGAUGCAGAAUUCCAGGUGUAGCGGUGAAAUGCGUAGAUAUCUGGAGGAAUACCGGUGGCGAAGGCGGCAUCCUGGACCGACAUUGACGCUGAACGGCGAAAGCUAGGGGAGCAAACGGG
RNAcentral lists this ribosomal RNA (253 nucleotides) under uncultured bacterium. RNAcentral's name for it is "partial 16S ribosomal RNA". It matches the Rfam family "Bacterial small subunit ribosomal RNA", at positions 524 to 776 of the family's 1533-position model. The record is from RNAcentral.